This 3999-nucleotide small RNA is filed under the name Rattus norvegicus (Norway rat). RNAcentral's name for it is "uncharacterized LOC108352453". The record is from RNAcentral. Lineage: Eukaryota; Metazoa; Chordata; Mammalia; Rodentia; Muridae.
CCCAGGUCCCCUAGGUUAGUCUGAUGAUGUCAUGGCGGUAACCAAGGCGACACACUGUGACAUCACACCUCAAAGAAUACCCCUGACCUUGGCCUGGAAUUCAAAGGAAAAUCAGCCCAUAAACUUCUAAAGCUAGCAGGAGAUAAAUAUCCUUAGUCAUAAAAGAACAAACGAUGUUUGGGGUGAGGGGCCUUGUGGGGAAGCAUACUGUAAAAGUCCGUGCCAGAUUUUUCAGGAAGUGCCAGCGGCCAUUAAAUCAGAAAGGGAGAGAGCAACGGGGCCAGAGAGCUUGCCCACUGUCUUAGCACUGAUCUCAGCACCCACUAGGGAUGCCUGACAGAUCACACCCAGCCAACAGAACACGUGUCUGGGGAAGCCUGGAUCCCUCUGUGCGGAGGAACAAAUCAGGAGUCUUGGGGAUGAAGGAGCGAUGUCUGCCCAAGGUGUGGUUUGAAAGGAUGGGCAGGCAUCUACCAUUCCAGGUCCAUUCCUGAGCGGAUUCUGGAUCUCCUGCCUGGUUAUAUGAUUCACAUACAUAACCCUGAAUCAGCGCACCCAUUGUGUGCCCCUGACAUUUGGGAGAAGAGGACAACACGCUCACGCUGUGCUCUGGGCUUCGAGGACAGUGGUGGCCUUAGAGAACCUACCUACAAGGGAGGAACAGGCAGAACUGACCUCUGAAGGAAGUGGCAUCGAUGCUUCUAAAAGGAUGAGUAUUACCUUGGGAGGGUGUCAGGCAGGAUGAGGAUGGAAUUUCGCUGGGUUUGGAUCAGACAUUUGCCUUGUGAAAUCUGACAAGUCUGGGAGGGUAAUGGGGGAACUGCUAAGGGAUUUUAUGCAAGGGAGCGCCAUUAUCAACAAAAACAAUCCUUUUGAAAGCCUGGGAUGGUCGUGCACACCCGUGGUUCCUGCUCUUGGGAAGAUAGGGGAGGGUUGGAAUUUCAAGGCCAGCGUUGACUACCUAGCAAGUCUGAGGCUAGCCUGAGCUAGAGAAGCCAUCUCAAGCCAACAUGGCGGCUAAGAAUGGAUCUUGGUCGGUAGAGGCAUGCAUGGGGCCUGAUGCCAGGGAUACGGGUUUGAUUCUCAACAGUAGAUAAAUUACACGUCUAAUCCCAGUCUUUGGGAGGUCGAGGCGGGGGUAUCAAGGGUACAAGGUCAUUUUUUUUGGCUACAUAAGUGAAUGUUGUCAAGAAAAGAAAAAGAAAAAGACAGACAGACCCAUUUAACUGAGGAAAGGGUGAGGUAGGGAGAGAGGAAUGGAUUCAACCAGGCACAGCGAGUCUGCAACAAAACCGAGAUUUGAACUAGGGUCUCCAGAAUCUAGUACUGGGUAGAAUAUGUGUGCUUUGGAAGCAUGAACACUGAGAAUGGGCCUUAAUAGAGGACUCUGUAGCGAGUGGUGUGGAGAGGAUGUCCCAGUGUAUUUAUGUGGGCUAAGAUUCAAUGACUGGUCCCCUUAGAAGAAGAGGGUAGGCAAGAUUGCUCAGCAGGUAAAAGAGCUUUCAUCACACCUGAGGACCAUUCCACAAGUUGUCUUCUGAGCAUCCUAUGCACAUGAUAGUGUGUAAUCUCAGAAUAAAUAAGAAAGCCAGGAGCACUAACGCACACCUUCGAUCCCCACAGUUGGGAGGCAUAGGCAGGCCGAUCUUUGAAUUCAAGGAUACCUUGGUCUACAGAUGGGGUUCCAGGACACUCUGUCUUAGCGGGGAAAAAGCCAGUGAGAAGAAAUCACAGAGACACACAGACAGAAGUUCCUGUGAACACAGAGGUGGGGAAUCACAGUCACCACGGACAAAGCAACGCUCAGGGUAACCAGCAAGCCUCAGUACCUAGGUUCUUUUGCCCUGGAGCAGGUAAAAUGGAACCAAGUUUUCAAGCCAUGUAGCAGAGCUCUGUGAUCCCAGCAUGUGGAAGGGCUGGAGUGGAAAGGGGUUUGCAGAGAGGGGGAGAGGGCUCGGUACCAAGAGAGAGUUCCUGGGAGCUGGGGUGACUAUGGAGAAUGACUUCCGCAGUCACUUUGGCCUAGUUUCCUGAGAGAGUGCGUCAGUUCUCAGGGCUGUCCAGACAGAAGGCAAGCCUUUGUUCUUCCUGAUGACCUUUGAGGAUGACAAGGAUGCUAGUGCUCCGUGAACUCAUUUGAACAGCAGAGCCCGGCCCUGGAGGAGCAGGGACAUGGUGGCAGUAACAGCAACACGAACGUCACAACGACCUCAAGAACAAAUAUGUCACCUUCUACUUCCAGGCAUUUUAACAGAGCCAUCAUGAUCCCCCACUUAUGAGAGGGUCCCUGGGAUCAAAGACAUGCACCACCACCACCCUGCAGUUGGUUGGUUUUAAGAUAGAGUCCUUGCCUUGCGGUUGAGGCACUGACAAGGGGACCAGGGAUCCAGACUAUUAACAGAAGUCUCUGAACUCCGUCAUCAGAAGACAAAUGAGCCAAUUAAAACCUGGGCAGAAGAUUUCUUUAAUGAACACUCCGCAGAGCUAUUCGAAGCAGUUAGUGCACAGUUCCAGUCGUCAUUAGAACAAUAAAACUACAUCUUUCAUCCCAGUCCUCAGAGGGCAGAGUCGGCUGAAAUUUGCCUGUCUGGUCUGCAUGGUGAUUUCCGGGCCAGCUAUAGCUACAUAGUGAGAUCCUGUCUCAGAGAAGAAGGGGAAGUGGUGAAGGGAGAGGGACAUGGCCACGGAAUGUGUGUGUGUACAUCUAUUAUCCAAGUACUUAGGAGGCAAGGACGGACAGACAGAUGGAGUGUUUAAGACCAGCCUGUGCUACACAGCUGGUGACACUUUGGAAACAACAGAGGAUGUUGCAAGCCCAGCACAGUAGCUACAAUGUAAAUGACAGACAGCUGGAGGGUUGACAAGGUCCACAGGGCAACUGCAACAUUCCAGGUGUUGGUGGGACCUGAGAAGGAAUUUAUACCUCAAAACGAUUGCUUUUGAAAAAGAAAUAGGUCUGCAAACAGUAAGUUAUUAAGUCAAGUCCAGCCUGAGGGUGGUGUGUGCCUGCAAUCCCAGCUUUCCAGAGUCAUCCCCAACCUUGGCUGUGUAUCAGUUUCCAGGUCAGCUUGGACUACAUUAAGACCUUGUUUCAAAAUAAAACAAAAGUAGAGGGUAAGGGGGGUUGGGCAAGAUGGCUCAGUGAGUACAAGCUCCGCCGCUGCCAAGUUCAUGACUUGAGUUUGGUCUCCAGGUACCCACAUGGUAGAAGGAGAGAACUGAGUCCCUCACUUUGACCUCCUGACCUUAGUAGGAGUACUGUGACACACACUCACACUCAACCAUAUAUUCUCAAGAAUGUGAAUGUGCCCCCCCAAUAAACAAAUAUUAAAACAUUCUAUCUUUUCUCAAAGCUUGACUCAAGCACUUGCUGGAGGAUAUGGCCUUUAGUUCCUACCGACGCAGUUUUACACUCUCUUGCUGGCCAAAGGAAGACAUGUUAGUGUUUCUUCUAGGCUCCGCCCAUCAGUUACCUAGCAACAGCCAGGCUGCUUGGGAAAAGCAACAGUCCUGGACGCAGCAAACACAUUGUCUUCUCUUCUCUGGCCAAGAGAAAUCUUAAUCACCCUGUGGAGUAAUGGGCUCAGAAUAAUAGAAGCUUAAAAUACUUGGAUAAACACAGCCCACGGAGGGAGAAGAAGCACACUGGAGGCUACCUCAUCCUUCCCACAACCAGAGGGAGAGAGAGAUGUUCUAGCUCAGGAGUGGUGAUAAAUGACUGUGAUGCGUAUGUGUUCCAAACCAAAGCCUGCCCCGCCCCCACUUUGGAGGGGGUGUUGGCCAUCCUGAGGUGCUCCAGCUGGGUACCCCCUCCCCCAUUUUAAACCCAUCACAGAGUGAGGCGAAGCAGAUUUGAUGCAACUGACUUCUGAGUCUUUGGAAACAGAGAGUCUUUUGAUCUUUAUCAGCAUGAUGACCUGAACCCUGAACCCAGGACUGCUAACAUGGAGGGCAAGGUCAACACACUGAGCCACACCCUCAGCCCUUUCCGGUGUUAAA